CAUAGCGACUAUCGUGGCAUAUCAAUAAGCGGAGGAAAAGAAACUAACAAGGAUUCCCCUUAGUAACGGCGAGUGAAGCGGGAAGAGCUCAAAUUUGAAAUCUUCAAGGUUCUACCUUGACGAAUUGUAGUUUAUAAGAAGUGUUUUCGGUUAGAGGAGUAGUGCAAAAGUUCUUUGGAAUAGGACAUCAUAGAGGGUGAGAAUCCCGUAUUUGGUCAUUCCUCCUAGCGUUGUGAUACACUUUCAACGAGUCGGAUUGUUUGGGAAUGCAGUCCAAAAUGGGUGGUAAAUUUCAUCUAAAGCUAAAUAUUGGCGAGAGACCGAUAGCGAACAAGUACCGUGAGGGAAAGAUGAAAAGAACUUUGAAAAGAGAGUUAAACAGUACGUGAAAUUGUCAAAAGGGAAGCGUUUGACACCAGUGUUGUUUUUCCGAAAAUCAAUUACGAAUGUUUUGUUUUUGAGGAGUUAUGACUUCAUCGGCUUGCUCCUUUCUUUAUGAAACUUUCUUAAUGCACUUUUCGGUUAACAAGUCAACAUCAAUUUCUUUUGUUGUAAAAGGGUAUGAGGAAGGUGGCUUUCUUUUCGGAGAAAGUGUUUAUAGCCUUGUGCCUCUGCAAUCGGAGAGAUUGAGGUCUGCAGCGUAGAUCCUUCGGGGUUAGAUACGUUUGUGCUAAGUUAUAGCUUUUUCAUAGACAACAUUGUUGACUAUGAUUUAAGUCAUUGUAGCUUACUCGCUUACUGCUAUUUUACCUACGCUUAGGAUGUUGAUAUGCAUGACUGAUAU
This 784-nucleotide ribosomal RNA is filed under the name uncultured Neocallimastigales. Its description in RNAcentral is "partial large subunit ribosomal RNA". It matches the Rfam family "Eukaryotic large subunit ribosomal RNA", at positions 22 to 643 of the family's 3401-position model. The record is from RNAcentral. Lineage: Eukaryota; Fungi; Neocallimastigomycota; Neocallimastigomycetes; Neocallimastigales.